GUUUAUUGGCCCAUAAACGUAAUUCAGGGUGAGGAACUAACUAACAUCAAAUUAAAAAAGUGAAAUUCUCCUUUAAUGGUCUUGGGUUAAUGAGUGAAGUUUUUUGUCAGGCCAGUGAAGUUCGGAAAAAGAAAAGCUGCUCAGCAGGGAAGCCAAUAACUCCUUGGCACCCCUCCUCUCAUUCCUCAGUUUGAUCAUAGGUCUAAAAGACUAUAGACAGAAGACAAUGAAGAGGAAUAUGAAGCACCUGCAAUACUAUCAAUUUCUAUUCUGCUACCUUCUGCUGACUAUCAAAGAUCAUGCACUCUGUGUCAAAGAAAUCACAAUUACUCCGGCUGAACCACAUGUCAAGCUGGGAGAUGCUGUGACCCUAACCUGUGAAACAACCUGUGAAGGCAAACCACAGUGGAAGCAACUAGACGACAGUGAUGCUGAAAUCACUUUCGAUGGGAAAAAAAGUUUUCUAAAGAUUGCAGCUGUACAGCUGGAUCACCAACAAACAUAUACCUGCACUGUGGCCAAAUGUCUUACACGGAAGAAGGAAUCAGUCAAGCUCAUCGUUGACAGUCUUUCCACAGAAGGAGUAGAUGUUGAGGUCAUUAGCAUUACGAAAAAAGAUACCAGAGUUACCCCAGAUCCUUUAAAAACAACAGUUAAGGCUGAUGUACUUCCAGUUCACACCACAGAAAACCCAACAGAGAUGUUGCCAACAACGACAUGGCCCGCUACUAUUAAUGCACUUAAGGAAAAAGGAAUAGAUGUUGAGGUCAGUAGCAUUACAAAAAAGCUACCAGAGGUUGCGUCCACAUCAUUUCUCCCUACCAAAACAAGAGAUCCACAAGUAGAAGAUCCUUCAAAAACAACAAUCAAGGCUGAUAUAUUUCCAGUUCACACUACAGAAAAUAUAACUAAAAUGUUGCCAACAACAUUACUGCCCACCACUAUUAAGCCUCUGAAAGACACAGCAGGGGCAGCUUCCAGCUCCACUAUAAUGGCCAUGGCUGUAGUGGGCUCAGUGGCAACUCUCUCAUUCCUGGGAUUCUUGAUUCACCUGAUCCGCCGGAAGAAACGCAAGUUGUCCCCUAAUGACAUGUAGAACCACCUGGAUGACUGCUGACCAAAAUUGCAUCAGCUUCAUCUCAUUUCAAGCUUUUUUUGUCCAAUAUAUUUAAUGCUAUUAUAACACUCCUUCAUACAGCUUUCCCUGCAUCAGCUUAAACCUAAUAUAAUACACUGAUCAAAAAAAUUUAAGGAACACUUAAAUCAUACAUCGGGUCUCGAUGAACGACAUAUGUUAAAGAUCAUAACCUUUACUGUACAUUGUGUAAUUAUCACGGUCGUAGGUAUGCAUGAUAUGUGGCGCAGAGCGAGUAAAGGGAAACAUCCUUUUAUUAUAACGCAAAAAAUAACAAAAGGAGAGGCAAACCUAACACAAACAAUGAUCCACAAGUGAAAAGUCCAAAAGGGAAACUUAAAUAGGGUCCCCAAUUAGAGGCAACAUGCGGCAGCUGCUGCCUCUCAAUCACCAACCGAUUGAGGGCUGGAUUCAAACUGAAAAUCAAAGUAAACAACUAAAAUCACAGGCUGUUCCAACUUAAUGUGACUCAUAAUGUGACCCAGUAGUGUGUGCCUGUAUGCAAUGCCGACAAUGUCUGGGCGUGCUCCUGAUGAGAUGGCGGAUGGUGUCCUUGGUGAUCUCCUCCCAGACCUGGAUCAGGGCAUCAGUGAACUCCUGGACAGUCUGUGGCACUACUUGAUAGGAUUCAGGUCUGGGAUUCAGGUCUGAGAACGUGAAACCGGUAAUGCUAGAUGAUGUUGUAAGCAACGUUCACCACAGCGUCUCCAGACUCUUUCAUGUCUGUCACGUGCUCAAUUUGAACCUGUGCUCAUCUGGGAAAAGAAUGUAACGCCAAUGGCGGACCUGCCAAUUCUGGUGUUCUCUAGUGAAUGCCAAUCGAACUGCAUGGUGCUGGGCUGUGAGCAUAGGUCCCACUAGAGGACGUCAGACCCUCAAGCCACCCUCAUGGAGUCUGUUUCUGACAAUUUGGUCAGAAAUAUGCACACAUUAGCCUGCUGGAAGUCUGGCUCUGGCAGUGCUCCUCCUGUUCCUCCUCACACAAAGGAGCAGGUACCGGUCCUGCUGCUGGUUUGAUGCUCUUCUAUGGCCCUGUACAGCUCUCCCCGUGUAACGGCUCGUCUCCUGGUAUCUCCUCCAUGUUCUUGAGACUGUACUGUGAGACACAGCAAACCUUCUUGCGACGGCACGUAUGGAUUUGCUAUUCUGGAAGAGCUGGACUGCCUGUGCAACCCGAGUGGGCUGUAGGUACCGCCACAUGCUACCAGUAGUGACAACCACACUAGCAAAAUGCAAAAAUAAAGAAGAAUCAGUCAGGAAGGAUAAGGAGAGAGCAAUUGUCUGUUGCCACCACCUGCAAACCAUUCCCUUUUUGGGGGUUGUCUAGCCGUUGCCUCUCCAGUAAACCUGUUGUCUCUUUCAUUUGCACCAAUGCAGUGACAUUGAUUCACAAUUGAUAUCCCUCAAAUUCACUUGGUGUUAUACUGUGAUGAUUGUGUUCCCUUAAUUUUUUAGCAGUGUAUUUGCUAUGGUACUACCUGAUAAAAUUAAGGACAAUGUACAAAGAAUGACACCCAAGAAGAACAGUCUAAUUUGGAAAAAAAUAUGUAACUAACAUGAAGUUUGAUUAAUAUCAUAUCCAUAUAAAAAGAAAAAUAUAGCAACAUUUUUGAUUUCCUGAGGUUUAUUUUAAAUAGACAUUCCUGUUUAGGUAUUUCUGUUGUGAUGUUAACUUUUUUUAUACAUUUCAUUAUACACCGAUGCAGGAGCGUCACCAGACCUGGGCUUUCAUUUAAUUCUACAUGUUAUAUUUUUAAGUGGAACAUUAUAUCAAAUAGACAUGACUAAAUGGCAUCUGUAGCAACAUUACCAUGAAAAAGCCUAAAUAAGUUAAUAAAGCAUGUGAAUUUAAACACAAACAGUAAUUUCUACUACUACUUGUUUUCUUUUGUUUUUUGCAUACACUGUGGUAUAAGCGGGACAGACCUUUUUCUGUAACAUCACCUUGGCAAAAAUGAACUCCUUCCAUUCCAUUGUCUGAUGCAACUAGAAUCCUGCAGGAAUGUCAUCUGUUGUGAAGGAAUCAUGCAGGUGUCCUGCAGGAAUCCUGAAGGAUUGACCUUGAUGAGAGAUUAUCCUGCAGAAAUCCAGAGAAUAUUGCACAACCCUGAAAAUUCAUGCAGGAAUCAAAAUCCUGCAGACUUCUAAAUUCCUGCAGGAUAUGACGAUCCCUGCAGGAAUAAAAAUUCCUGAAAAUGAAUAUUCUAGCAUGAAUCACACUGUAUAUUUUAAUAAACAAGCUGGAUAUGGCAAUUCCUGCUGGACUAAAACCGUCAGGAUUUAGAUUUUCCUGCAGGACAUGUGAAAAUGUGAAUUCCUGACAAUUUCUGUCAUCUGCUCAUACUAGUCAUGUAAUAUUAAGUAUUUAAUAUCUUGCAGGUGGAUUUCAGUCACACUAAGUAGAAGCAAUAGAUUCUGGGCUAGUAUUUUUUAUUGUCUCACUCAGAAUUUGAAACAAGCACAAGAUACUUUUAGAAAACGUUUUAAAAACAGCCAUGUAACAAUACAUGAUGUAAUAACACCGCAUUAUGUAAUAACUUGACCAAAUGUAAUACAUUUUCAAUUCAUUUUGUAAUAACACCCACAUUUUUACUAAUCUGCUUCAUUUGUAAUAAUCAGCUUGAAAGCAAUUUGUACUAAAUGUCCCCGCAUUUUGUAACAAAUUAUUACAUUAUGUGGUGAUUAUUACAAAAUGUGGGAGUUGGACUUAUAAAAAAUGAAAAUGUAAUUAUAUAGUGCAUUAUGUAAUAC
Long non-coding RNA from Esox lucius (northern pike), 3886 nucleotides. The record is from Ensembl. Lineage: Eukaryota; Metazoa; Chordata; Actinopteri; Esociformes; Esocidae.